Molecule: long non-coding RNA, 562 nt
Organism: Macrosteles quadrilineatus (aster leafhopper)
Lineage: Eukaryota; Metazoa; Arthropoda; Insecta; Hemiptera; Cicadellidae
Exons: 3
Source: RefSeq, a predicted model, not a curated record
CCGCCUGUAGUAUCAACACACGGCAACAGAAACAAAGGAAUGAGGUUGACAUGCAACUUAGCGGUGGUCCUUCUAUCCCUGAUGUUUUUGGUUUGGGCCGUAGUCAGCCACCCUGUUGGUAGCCCAGAGAUAGCUAGUAUCAAAAACAUCAGCUCACAUCAUAAUAUCAAGGAUGAAAGAGAAAUGAGAAACAUUCCGCAGUGGCAUUGCUUGCGCUAUCGCCGCUUCGCUCUCGUCAAGCGAUGUCGAAACUACCGACGACACUAAUGUCACCGAGGAAAUAUUUAUGUACAAGAUUAACUCGUUCCUUAAAAGUUAUCAGACUGAUUGUACAUUUACCAAUAGUAGAAACUUGGUAUAAGAUAACAAAUAAUGAACUGAAACCGAAGGAGAAAAGUAGCUCUCAGAACUUAGUGCCUUUACAUGUAAAAAGUUAACCACUUACAAGGCAUAGACGUUGGUUAUGUUAUUUACAUCUAGAAUUUUGUCAAGAAAUGUAAAAAUUCAGUUUGAUUUUGGUGUUGUACUUAAUUUACAUUAUUGUAUAUUACUUUAAAGAUGA